This 492-nucleotide ribosomal RNA is filed under the name uncultured bacterium. RNAcentral's name for it is "partial 16S ribosomal RNA". It matches the Rfam family "Bacterial small subunit ribosomal RNA", at positions 29 to 507 of the family's 1533-position model. The record is from RNAcentral.
AGUGAACGCUGGCGGUAGGCCUAACACAUGCAAGUCGAACGGCAGCACAGUAAGAGCUUGCUCUUACGGGUGGCGAGUGGCGGACGGGUGAGGAAUACAUCGGAAUCUACUUUUUCGUGGGGGAUAACGUAGGGAAACUUACGCUAAUACCGCAUACUACCUACGGGUGAAAGCAGGGGAUCUUCGGACCUUGCGCGAUUGAAUGAGCCGAUGUCGGAUUAGCUAGUUGGCGGGGUAAAGGCCCACCAAGGCGACGAUCCGUAGCUGGUCUGAGAGGAUGAUCAGCCACACUGGAACUGAGACACGGUCCAGACUCCUACGGGAGGCAGCAGUGGGGAAUAUUGGACAAUGGGCGCAAGCCUGAUCCAGCCAUACCGCGUGGGUGAAGAAGGCCUUCGGGUUGUAAAGCCCUUUUGUUGGGAAAGAGAAGCAGCAGGUUAAUACCCCGCUGUUCUGACGGUACCCAAAGAAUAAGCACCGGCUAACUUCGUG